GUUAAAACGCUCGUAGUCGGAUUUCGUGGUCGGGCGACAGGUCUCCUUCACAGGUGCACUUGUCGGCUUGCCAUUCUUACCGGAACGGCUGCACUUUUUUAACUAAACGUGCAGUUGGAACGGUUUAUUUACUUUGAAAAAAUCAGAGUGUUUCAAGCAGGCAGCUCGCUCUUGCAUGGAUUAGCAUGGGAUAAUGAAAUAGGACUUUGGUGCUAUUUUGUUGGUUUCGAACACCGAAGUAAUGAUUAAAAGGGACAGUCAGGGGCACUCGUAUUCCGCCGAGAGAGGUGAAAUUCUCAGACCAGCGGAAGACGAACCACUGCGAAAGCAUUUGCCAGGGAUGUUUUCACUGAUCAAGAACGAAAGUUAGGGGAUCGAAGACGAUCAGAUACCGUCGUAGUCUUAACCAUAAACAAUACCGACUAGGGAUUGGAGGAUGUUCACUAUCGACUCCUUCAGCACCUUACGGGAAACUAAAGUCUUUGGGUUCCGGGGGGGAGUAUGGUCGCAAGGCUGAAACUUAAAGGAAUUGACGGAAGGGCACCACCAGGAGUGGAGCCUGCGGCUUAAUUUGACUCAACACGGGGAAACUUACCAGGUCCAGACAUUGUGAGGAUUGACAGAUUGAGAGCUCUUUCUUGAUUCGAUGGGUGGUGGUGCAUGGCCGUUCUUAGUUGGUGGAGUGAUUUGUCUGGUUAA
This 699-nucleotide ribosomal RNA is filed under the name uncultured marine eukaryote. RNAcentral describes it as "SSU rRNA". It matches the Rfam family "Eukaryotic small subunit ribosomal RNA", at positions 618 to 1322 of the family's 1831-position model. The record is from RNAcentral.